RNAcentral lists this ribosomal RNA (430 nucleotides) under uncultured eukaryote. RNAcentral's name for it is "bacterial SSU rRNA". It matches the Rfam family "Eukaryotic small subunit ribosomal RNA", at positions 630 to 1051 of the family's 1831-position model. The record is from RNAcentral.
AGUAGCUAUCUCUCGGGGUAGUCAAUUGGUUAUUAUAUCUCCACUAAUGAGCAGAGAGGAGUAAAAUCUUCAAGUAAGUUUAUGUGGAUCAAGGUAUAAUGAUUAAUUGGAGUUCUAGUUCAUUUACUUUGAGAAAAUUAGAGUGUUUAAAGCAGCCUCUUGGGGCACUGAAUACAUUAGCAUGGGAUAAUAAAAUAGGAUCUUCACAAUAUAUUUUAUUGGUUUAAAUUGGAUAUGAAGAUAAUGAUUAAUAGGGACAGUUGGGGGUAUUCAUAUUGGGUGGUUAGCGGUGAAAUGCUCGGAUCCAUUCAAGAUGAACUAAAGCGAAAGCAUUUACCAAGGAUGUUUCAUUAAUCAAGAACGAAAGUUAAGGGGAUCGAAGACGAUUAGAUACCGUCGUAGUCUUAACUAUAAACUAUGCCGACCAGGG